This is a non-coding RNA of Salmo salar (Atlantic salmon), 83 nucleotides long. The record is from the annotation of a RefSeq genome assembly. Lineage: Eukaryota; Metazoa; Chordata; Actinopteri; Salmoniformes; Salmonidae.
UCCCGUGUGGCUCAGUUGGUAGAGCAUGGUGUUUGUAACGCCAGGGUUGUGGGUUCGAUUCCCACAGGGGACCAGUAUGGGAA